RNAcentral lists this ribosomal RNA (254 nucleotides) under uncultured bacterium. Its description in RNAcentral is "partial 16S ribosomal RNA". It matches the Rfam family "Bacterial small subunit ribosomal RNA", at positions 524 to 777 of the family's 1533-position model. The record is from RNAcentral.
UACGAAGGGGGCUAGCGUUGCUCGGAAUCACUGGGCGUAAAGCGCACGUAGGCGGCUUCUUAAGUCAGGGGUGAAAUCCUGGAGCUCAACUCCAGAACUGCCUUUGAUACUGUUUGGCUUGAGACCGGUAGAGGUAAGUGGAACUGCGAGUGUAGAGGUGAAAUUCGUAGAUAUUCGCAAGAACACCAGUGGCGAAGGCGGCUCACUGGCCCGAUACUGACGCUGAGGCACGAAAGCGUGGGGAGCAAACAGGG